UUCACCUGGUCCACUAGCCG
Molecule: microRNA, 20 nt
Filed under: Equus caballus (horse)
Lineage: Eukaryota; Metazoa; Chordata; Mammalia; Perissodactyla; Equidae
Also listed under: 1 other name
Description: eca-miR-412
Gene: eca-miR-412
Source: miRBase by way of RNAcentral